This 453-nucleotide ribosomal RNA is filed under the name uncultured bacterium. RNAcentral describes it as "SSU rRNA". It matches the Rfam family "Bacterial small subunit ribosomal RNA", at positions 26 to 518 of the family's 1533-position model. The record is from RNAcentral.
AGAACGAACGCUGGCGGCAUGCCUAACACAUGCAAGUCGAACGUGAUCCAGGCUUCGGCCUGGUGAAAGUGGCAGACGGGUGAGUAACGCGUGGGAACCUGCCCUGUGGUAGGGAAUAACCGUGGGAAACUGCGGCUAAUACCCUAUGAGUCCUUCGGGAGAAAGAUUUAUCGCCAUAGGAGGGGCCCGCGUCGGAUUAGGUAGUUGGUGGGGUAACGGCCUACCAAGCCUUCGAUCCGUAGCUGGUCUGAGAGGAUGAUCAGCCACACUGGGACUGAGAUACGGCCCAGACUCCUACGGGAGGCAGCAGUGGGGAUAUUGGACAAUGGGGGCAACCCUGAUCCAGCAAUGCCGCGUGGAUGAUGAAGGCCUUCGGGUUGUAAAGUCCUUUCGGCGGGGAAGAUGAUGACGGUACCGCAGAGAAGCCCCGGCUAACUUCGUGCCAGCAGCCGC